This is a long non-coding RNA of Antechinus flavipes (yellow-footed antechinus), 3763 nucleotides long. RefSeq lists it as uncharacterized. The transcript has 7 exons. NCBI's taxonomy places the organism in Eukaryota, Metazoa, Chordata, Mammalia, Dasyuromorphia, Dasyuridae. The record is from RefSeq and is a predicted model, not a curated record.
CCUCUCAGUCUUCUCCAGGCGCUCCUCCUGGUGCCUCUGGACUUCUCCCUGCGCCCCGGACCUUAGGACCGCCCGCCGCGCUGGUGUUUCUUGUAAACAACAUUUUGUUAGAUUCUGGUUCCUAAUCCAUUCUGCUAUCUGCUUCUGUUUUAUGGGUGUUUCUUGUAAACAACAUUUUGUUAGAUUCUUGUUUCUAAUUCAUUCUGCUAUCUGCUUCUGUUUUACAGGAGUGCCUCUAUUUCACUCAGUGUCCAUUUUUUUUCCUCUGAAGAAUUCUACUCAGUUUUGUUGGCUUCCAUUACUUGCUUCAGGAUUGAGCUGAAAACCAUCCUCUGCAAGAGUCCUUUUCUGGUCCACCUGAACUCCCUGUCCACUUGAGGCAUCUCUUCUAAGUCUGCCUUCUUUCUAUUCUCCUUUUGUGUAGCGUUUCUCGCUGUGAACCCGCCCUAACUUGGUGUUAUGGAGAACUAGGAGACCAACCCAUUUCCCUGCUACGAUCCUCAUCAUUUGGUGGCCCGGUACAGGGAGAUCUUGUUGCUGAGCCCACAGGAAAAGGCUCUUGCAGAGGAACGGGGGUACAUCCUUUCCCACUCCAGUUGGUUUCAAACGCCCUCAAACCACCUCUUAAUCCCGGAGGCAAGUCAGUGGAAACUGAUCUCUGGUCUCCACCAGGCCACGCACCAGACCAGAAAUGCUCUCCAUUCCCUGGUGAAGCUCAUUCUCACAGGCCACAAGCUGGGAGAAACAAUCAAACAGGUGUGCCAGGCCUGCCCGGUCUGUGCGCAGUUAAAUCCUGAGGGAGCCGUUAAGCCCCCACCUCUCCUGAAGCCAGUCCAGAGGAGAGGCCGGACCCUGGCGAGGAUUGGCAACUAGACUUCACGCAUAUGCCCCUUGUAGAGGUUUUAAGUUGCUUUUGGUAUUUGUUGAUACGUUCACUAACUGGGUGGAAGCUUUUCCUUCCAGGACUGAAAAGGCCCACGAGGUAUCUAAGUGUUGCUGAAGGAGAUCAUACCACGUUUUGGGUUGCCCAGCUCCUUACAGAGCGAUAAUGGGCCGGCCUUCAUUUCUCAGGUAAUCCAAGGGGUAGCCAAGGCACUAAACAUCUCUUAUCAUCUGCACUCUGCCUGGCGUCCUCAAGCCUCUGCAAAGGUAGAGAAAAUGAAUCUUACACUUCAGAGGGUCCUCACAAACUCUGUUUGGAGACUAGGGAGGACUGGAUAAAGAAUCUCCCACUGGGGCUACUUAGAGUGAGAAUCGCCCCCGGGGAAGUAAUUAAACUAAGCCCUUUCGAACUUGUGUAUGGGAGGCCUUUCCUAGUCACUGAUAUCCUAGUAGAUGAGGACUUGCACGGAGUCACUCAGUUUGCUACUCAGCUCAGCGCAUUCCGAAAGGCGCUCUCUGAAUAUGCAAAGGAGCCACCUCCCUAGGCCCUCAGAAGCUUCAAACCAAAUCCCAUCUCCUGUCAAUCCAGGUGAUUUGCUGUAUUUGAAAACCUGGAAGCCCCAGGGAUCAGACCCUCUAAGUGUUAAGUGGAAAGGCCCUUACAAGGUCAUUUUACCCACUCCAACAGCAGUUAAACUGGAAGGGUCCCCCAGCUGGACCCAUAUCUCUAGAAUUAAAAAUGCUGCUUCUGUUACCUCUCCUUCAGAUACUCCAGUGUAUUCCUGUGAGCCCAUUGAGGACCUGAAGUAUCUGUUCCGCAAGACUUCUGGAAAAACUCUGGAGAAAGAAGGCUCUCUCUCUAAUCUCCCUCUCUCCUCAUUAUGAGGAUUCUACUCUUAUUGCUCUCUCUCCAGCUCUCCUGGUCUUACUCCAUGGGCCCUCGCUAUUGGGGUGACAACUUCCUGGUCAGACUAGGGAACUCUGUGGGGAGUGGGGGUGUCCAGGACUGCUGGGUGGGCCAUCACCACCCCCAGGGUGGCCCACAGAUGCGACCUAAUGCAUUUGUUGCAAAGGUCCCAUUCCCACGGGCCACUAUCUCCUCCCUGGACGCUGCCCCCUUCGUACUAGCUAACCCCCAAGGGAACUACUCUGACCCAACUGUCCCCUGCUUCUUGGCUGGGAAGGAUCUCACAACUACAUAUCACCACACUACGGGACAGUGGAUGUCACUGUUUCCCAGGAUGGCCAGGUCUAUAUCCCUGAUGUUGCGACACUGACCUGUACCACCAACACUGUGGGUGCAAGCAAGUGUGAUCUCUCUCAGACCUGCCGGAAUUUCACCUCGGCAACUUGCACCAGCUGUGUAAAAGGGUCCCAGGCCAGGUGCACUUUUGAUCGUGCACUUCCCCAGAAGGUGACCGUGGGAAACCCAUUUUGGGAUUAUCCUGGCAAGCUCCUUCACAGUGCUUCUGAAUCGCCUUCCCUACAGCUUCUCCAUAACCUUGUGAAAACUAACCUCCCAAUAGAUAGAAUGCUUUGUGACUACACUCAUCCACGGGGCCGAGCAACCAGGAGACUGCUUCAGAAUCUAACCUCAGGUACUGUCUGUGCACCUAAGGGAUAUGCCUUCCUCUGCAAAGUAAGUUCCCCAUCCCCCUCCAGUACCUCUCAGAGGCCUAUUAAGAGAAAUGCCUCUGAUUGGAACCCACUCCCACCUGUGAUUCUCUCCACCCGGUGCUUGACACCUUUCAAACACUAUGGGUCUUGCACCUUGGGCCACUUGAUUACCCCUUUCACUGUAUACAACACCAGUGCCCCAGACGCAGCCCCCACUCCUCUGAGGAGAUAUAAGCGAGGAUUCUGGGAGAACACUCUGUGGUACUUGAAGAAAGGGGCUGGGAUCUUGGGUUGGAUAUUUAGAGUAUGAAAACUUUCUCUCCAACCUGACAGCCACAAUCCACCAGUUUGCCAACGAAAUGGCUCAUUCACUGAGGGAGAUUCAGGAAUCUCUUGACUCGUUGGCUAAUAUGGUUUUGGAUAAUCGCAUGGCCUUGAAUUAUCUUUUAGCCUCCAGCGGAGGUGUCUGUGCUCUGGUCAACACCUCUUGCUGCAUGUACAUUAACAACUCAAGGAAAGUUGAGCUGCGCAUAGAGAGAAUCUUACAGAAGGCUGCCUGGUUGCAAGACAUCCAUGAGCAGUUACUCACACCUCCAAGUCCUCCUCUGGGUGGGGUUCCUGGCUAUGGUCCCUACUGGCACCUAUACUAACCCCUCUUUUGAUUAUUAUCCUUCUGCUCAUCUUUGGUCCUUACAUUUUCAGAUUGCUCGUGAAAUUUGUUUCUUCUAGGCUACAAGCUGCAAACUUCCAACUUCUCUUGCAACCCGGGAACCCUGAGAUAACUGAUGGGAAAACUCCGCAUCCACUGGACACUGUGGCUGCCGCUUUCAGAUCUCGCUUCUCUCCCCCAAGCACCACUUCCCCUUCUUUCCCCCUUUAGGUUGAGCUCUAUGACCAUUUCCAGCAGGAAGUAGAUACAGAAGAUUUGAGACCACCGACCCUUUUCCAAAAGAAUUUGUGUUUAUUGCUUGAGGGGGGAGAUGAUGAGGAUAAUGCAGCCUCACCCAGAAGAGCAUUUGCAUUCCCUGGGAAAGACUCUGUUCCCAACAUUAUGCACCUUUUGGAUGCAAAACCUACAUUCCCUGGGAAAGACUCCUUUCCCCCACCCAAUCUCAAGUAUGUUCCUUUCGGAUGUAAAACCCGAAUUGUUUUGUUUCUGUAUAAGAGUAAGCCCUGAGAAAAUGUUUUUCAGCAAUUCUUUGACAUUGUCCACCAAGAGAACAUUUUGGUAUCUCUUUCUUUAAUAAAGCCUUUUCUUAUCACA